AUACGUAGGGUGCAAGCGUUGAUCGGAAUUACUGGGCGUAAAGCGUGCGCAGGCGGUUUUGUAAGACAGAGGUGAAAUCCCCGGGCUCAACCUGGGAACUGCCUUUGUGACUGCAAGGCUAGAGUACGGCAGAGGGGGAUGGAAUUACGCGUGUAGCAGUGAAAUGCGUAGAUAUGCGGAGGAACACCGAUGGCGAAGGCAAUCCCCUGGGCCUGGACUGACGCGCAUGCACGAAAGCGUGGGGAGCAAACAGGAUUAGAUACCCGGGUAGUCCACGCCCUAAACGGUGUCAACUGGUUGUUGGGUCUUCAUUGACUCAGUAACGAAGCUAACGCGUGAAGUUGACCGCCUGGGGAGUACGGCCGCAAGAUUGAAACUUAAAGGAAUUGACGGGG
This 395-nucleotide ribosomal RNA is filed under the name uncultured bacterium. RNAcentral's name for it is "partial 16S ribosomal RNA". It matches the Rfam family "Bacterial small subunit ribosomal RNA", at positions 523 to 918 of the family's 1533-position model. The record is from RNAcentral.